RNAcentral lists this ribosomal RNA (407 nucleotides) under uncultured bacterium. Its description in RNAcentral is "partial 16S ribosomal RNA". It matches the Rfam family "Bacterial small subunit ribosomal RNA", at positions 30 to 526 of the family's 1533-position model. The record is from RNAcentral.
AUUGAACGCUAGCGGGAUGCCUUACACAUGCAAGUCGAACGGAGUGGCGAACGGGUGAGUAAUGUAUCUGAACGUGCCCGGUAGCGGGGGAUAGCUACCCGCAAGCGUAGCUAAUACCGAAUACUCUUGGAGCGGCCGAUAUCGGUUUAGCUAGUUGGUGGGGUAAGGGCUCACCAAGGCGACGAUCCGUAGCUAGUUUGAGAGGACGACCAGCCACACUGGGACUGAGACACGGCCCAGACUCCUACGGGAGGCAGCAGUGGGGAAUAUUGGACAAUGGGGGAAAGCCUGAUCCAGCCAUCCCGCGUGUGUGAUGAAGGCCUUCGGGUUGUAAAGCACUUUUGGCAGGGAAGCGGUACCUGCAGAAUAAGCACCGGCUAACUACGUGCCAGCAGCCGCGGUAAUUC